This 254-nucleotide ribosomal RNA is filed under the name uncultured bacterium. RNAcentral describes it as "partial 16S ribosomal RNA". It matches the Rfam family "Bacterial small subunit ribosomal RNA", at positions 524 to 776 of the family's 1533-position model. The record is from RNAcentral.
CACGUAGGGGGCAAGCGUUGUCCGGAUUUAUUGGGCGUAAAGAGCUCGUAGGCGGCUCAGUAAGUCAGGUGUGAAACCUCCAGGCUCAACCUGGAGACGCCACCUGAUACUGCUGUGGCUAGAGUCCGGUAGGGGAGCGUGGAAUUCCUGGUGUAGCGGUGAAAUGCGCAGAUAUCAGGAGGAACACCGGUGGCGAAGGCGGUUCUCUGGGCAUGUCCUGACGCUGAGGAGCGAAAGUGUGGGGAGCGAACAGG